ACGAAGGGUGCAAGCGUUAAUCGGAAUUACUGGGCGUAAAGCGUGCGCAGGCGGUUUUGUAAGACAGAGGUGAAAUCCCCGGGCUCAACCUGGGAACUGCCUUUGUGACUGCACGGCUAGAGUGCGUCAGAGGGGGGUAGAAUUCCACGUGUAGCAGUGAAAUGCGUAGAUAUGUGGAGGAAUACCGAUGGCGAAGGCAGCCCCCUGGGAUAA
This 213-nucleotide ribosomal RNA is filed under the name uncultured prokaryote. Its description in RNAcentral is "partial 16S ribosomal RNA". It matches the Rfam family "Bacterial small subunit ribosomal RNA", at positions 525 to 737 of the family's 1533-position model. The record is from RNAcentral.